Molecule: non-coding RNA, 89 nt
Organism: Acanthosepion pharaonis
Lineage: Eukaryota; Metazoa; Mollusca; Cephalopoda; Sepiida; Sepiidae
Source: the annotation of a GenBank genome assembly
UUACGGCCAUAUCACGUUGAAACGCCGGUUUCCGUACGGUCACCGAAGUUAAGCAACGUCGAGUCUGGUCAGUACUUAGAUGGGUGACU